This is a long non-coding RNA of Mustela erminea (ermine), 2670 nucleotides long. RefSeq lists it as uncharacterized. The record is from RefSeq and is a predicted model, not a curated record. Lineage: Eukaryota; Metazoa; Chordata; Mammalia; Carnivora; Mustelidae. The transcript is spliced from 3 exons.
ACAGGCAGAGGGAGGGGCAGACUCCCCACUCCCAGGACCCCCAGAUCAUGAUCUGAGCCGAAGGCAGAGGCUUCACCGGCUGAGCCACCCCGGAGUCCCUGAUUUGAAUUUCCGGAAGGUCACGAUGCCGAACAUCUUCUCAGUUUUAGAACCAGCCUGUCUAUAUCUACAAAGGACUCUGCUGGGAUUUUGAUAGAAAUUUCUAACUGUAGAUCAUUGUGGGAAAGUUGACGUCUUAGCUAUGAUUCCUGAGGAUUUUCUGCACAAUCACAUCUUACUGUGAGUACAGUCCAGCAAAGCUCAGCUCCCCGCAGGCUCCCAGGUCACUGGGCUUCCUCCGAGCUGCUGUCACCCCUAUGACUUCCAUGACAGCCCCUGCCGCUUCUUCUCUUCCGCCAUCCGCAGAGCUCAUGCUCCCCAGGGCUCUGUCCUCAACUGCUCUUCUCUACACGCUAUAACUGACCUUAAGGCUGAAAUAAUCUGGCCUUGUUCAUGCCUGGCUUUGUUGCCACUGUCAGUGCUGAUCGCUUCUAGAUCUGCACAGACUCUGGACUCCAGGCCUGUUAUCUGACCACACUUGGGAAGCCUCCGUUUUGGUAUCCUGUGGACACUGUGAAUGCGACCUGUCCUCAUCUCCUCAAACUUGCCUUUCCUCCUGUGACAGGCAGGAGUAUAAAAUGACCCUCAGUUAGCUUUGCUCUUACAUAAUUUCUUCUGGAGCAUGGGUGGAACCUGUGGUUAGGGUGAGAUACGGCCUCCAUGGUUUUGUUCUGCUAGACGGCAAAAGGAAUGCUCGCGGAUGUGAUCAAGGCUCCUAAGCAGCCAAGUUCCUCAAACGGGAGACUAUGCUGGGUGGGCUUGCCCUAGCCAGUGAGCUCUUAUAAAGGGAGCCCGGGUGCUGGAGCGGAAGUCAGAGACAACUCCUGCUGGUCUGGGAACCAGACAGCCACGUUGUGAAGUCUCGGGGGGCCCGGGGGAAGCAGCCGUGGGUGGUCUCUAGUGGCUGAGAGUGGCCAUGGGCACAUGGCUCCGAAGAAAACGGGAGCCCCGAUCCUAUAAUCACAAGGAAAACACCGAGCUGGCUUGGGAGUUCCAGAAGGGAACCGUGUGCCGCUGACGUCCACACUGGCCUCCUGGCAACCUGAGCAGAGGACCCAGACUUGCUGAGCCUGGACCCCAGACCCGAGGAAACCAAGAUAAUAAGUGUGUGUUGUGUUAAGCCUCGGAGUGUGCGGUAGCGCGUCCCACAGCAGCCGGAAACACACACACCUCCUCUUAGCAUUUGGUCUCCACCAGGUCAGCUGCAGCCUCAUCCUCAUGCCCACGUGGACCAGAUCAUGCGACCUCCGCAGCCCCGUGUGCUCCACCGCUCUGCCUGUGCAUUUGGGCUUUCAGUGACACCCCCCCCCCCCCCCGCCAUGGAACGAACGUCCGGAAACCCCAGACACUGCCCGCCUGCCAUCACCCGCCGGCUCUCUAAAGGCCAGCGAGAGGGUCAGGCUCCUGUGUUGGGUUCAGCUCUCUCCCCGAUCCUGUCGGUGGCCCUCCCUGCACGGCGGAGCACUUGGCAUGGAUCGAACACUCAGUCUUCACCUCGACGCUGUGAGGUAGGUACCCACGGACUUCGUUUUACAGAUGAGGAAACCGAGGCACCAGGAGGACCCUUACUUACCAAAGGUCACACAGCCCCUGGCGCUGACUGCCAAGCCUGUGCCCUUCCCACAGUCCCUCGUGCCGUGGGUGUUCGUCUGUGCCCUCAGACACGCUCCCCCGAGCCCUGCAUGACAUCACCGAAUUCCUUUUUUUAAAAAAGAUUUAUUUAUUUAUUUGAGAGAGAGAGAAAGGACCCAAGCUGGGAAGGGGAGAGGGACAGGCAGACUGCUCUGACGGCGGAGCCCGACACCGGGCUCUAUUGCAGGACCCUGAGAUCAUGACCUGAGCCAAAAUCAAGAGUUGGACACUUAAUCACCUGAGCCACCCAUGUGCCGUUCACUGAAUUCUGUACCUGAGAAGACCCUCGGUCCCACUCAGUGUCCUGCACGGGUCCUGUGCUCCCUCCUCUGCAGGAGUGAGAGGGCCAGAGCGAGACACUUGGGAGGAGUGAUCGCGGUGGGGGCGUAGACCGGGCUUUCACUCAUCAGGUGGGAGCCAGAGAGAACUUCACCAUGAGAAGGUGUCUUGUGCGGAGGGAGUGUGUUUACUUGAGGGUUUCAGCAAGCCUUGUUGGGACCAAACAAAAUGCAAGAAGAGCCGCAGAAGGGACCAUGGACUUGCAGGUGCUCAGAGAGGCCCCUAGUUCGAGGGAUCCCGGGAGGUUCUGGGCUCAAGCUCCAAGAAGCCGUGAGGGUAGGGAGGGAGGAACAUGGGACCCCCCUGCGGGUGGUGCUGGAGUUGGGGGAUGCUGGCUUUCUAUCAGGACGUGAUGGGCAGGAGGAUGAUGGCAUCUCUACCGGUCUUCACCUGCAGCCGGCCUGCCCAGCUGUGGAGACUGAGGAUAGGAUGGCGUUCCAGCUUUAGGGCUACAACACACAGCCUAGGACGCAUCCUGAGAAACCUGGAAUGCAGUGAAUCACCUGAGUUUGUGGUCAGCAUCUCAGAUCUUGCACUGGCAGCAGACGGGGACACAGCAGCUGGACUGGGAGCAGCAGGGCUUGCAGCAGCUGGACUGGG